GUGGGGAAUCUUGCGCAAUGGGCGAAAGCCUGACGCAGCCAUGCCGCGUGAAUGAUGAAGGUCUUAGGAUUGUAAAAUUCUUUCACCGGGGACGAUAAUGACGGUACCCGGAGAAGAAGCUCCGGCUAACUUCGUGCCAGCAGCCGCGGUAAUACGAAGGGGGCUAGCGUUGCUCGGAAUUACUGGGCGUAAAGGGCGCGUAGGCGGACAGCUUAGUCAGAGGUGAAAGCCCAGGGCUCAACCUUGGAAUUGCCUUUGAUACUGGCUGUCUUGAGUUUGGGAGAGGUGAGGGGAACUCCGAGUGUAGAGGUGAAAUUCGUAGAUAUUCGGAAGAACACCAGUGGCGAAGGCGACUCACUGGCCCAAUACUGACGCUGAGGCGCGAAAGCGUGGGGAGCAAACAGGAUUAGAUACCCUGGUAGUCC
Molecule: ribosomal RNA, 425 nt
Filed under: uncultured bacterium
Lineage: Bacteria
Description: partial 16S ribosomal RNA
Rfam family: Bacterial small subunit ribosomal RNA
Source: RNAcentral